AAGAAUUUAGUUAAAUUUAUAACAUUAACUUGUCAAGUUAAAAUUAUUAAACAAUUAAUACUUCUUG
Molecule: transfer RNA, 67 nt
Filed under: Caenis robusta
Lineage: Eukaryota; Metazoa; Arthropoda; Insecta; Ephemeroptera; Caenidae
Description: tRNA-Asp
Source: RNAcentral